UACGUAGGGGCAAGCGUUGCCCGGAUUUACUGGGCGUAAAGGGAGCGUAGGCGGACUUUUAAGUGAGAUGUGAAAUACCCGGGCUCAACUUGGGUGCUGCAUUUCAAACUGGAAGUCUAGAGUGCAGGAGAGGAGAAUGGAAUUCCUAGUGUAGCGGUGAAAUGCGUAGAGAUUAGGAAGAACACCAGUGGCGAAGGCGAUUCUCUGGACUGUAACUGACGCUGAGGCUCGAAAGCGUGGGGAGCAAACAGGAUUAGAUACCCCGGUAGU
Molecule: ribosomal RNA, 270 nt
Filed under: uncultured prokaryote
Description: partial 16S ribosomal RNA
Rfam family: Bacterial small subunit ribosomal RNA
Source: RNAcentral